UCCCCUGUGGCUGAGCUGGUAAAGAAUCCACCUGCAAAGCAGGAGAUCUGGGUUCAAUCCCUAGGUGGGGAA
RNAcentral lists this transfer RNA (72 nucleotides) under Bos indicus x Bos taurus (hybrid cattle). It matches the Rfam family "tRNA". Rfam says of the family: Transfer RNA (tRNA) molecules are approximately 80 nucleotides in length. Their secondary structure includes four short double-helical elements and three loops (D, anti-codon, and T loops). Lineage: Eukaryota; Metazoa; Chordata; Mammalia; Artiodactyla; Bovidae. The record is from Rfam by way of RNAcentral.